RNAcentral lists this ribosomal RNA (253 nucleotides) under uncultured bacterium. Its description in RNAcentral is "partial 16S ribosomal RNA". It matches the Rfam family "Bacterial small subunit ribosomal RNA", at positions 524 to 776 of the family's 1533-position model. The record is from RNAcentral.
UACAGAGGUCUCAAGCGUUGUUCGGAAUCACUGGGCGUAAAGGGUGCGUAGGCGGCGAGGAAAGUCAGAUGUGAAAUCCGAGGGCUCAACCCUCGAAUAGCAUCCGAUACUUCCCCGCUCGAGAUUUGUAGAGGAGUCUGGAACUCUCGGUGUAGCAGUGAAAUGCGUGGAUAUCGAGAAGAACGCUCGUAGCGAAGGCGAGGCUCUGGGCAAAUUCUGACGCUGAGGCACGAAGGCUAGGGGAGCAAACGGG